GUGGUACUGUUAAACGCAGUCGGCAAACAUUCAUCUUCCGCCGGGCGCGGCCGCCGUCGCCGGCCGUCCUCCUGGGGGUGGUGGCGGUGACCGUGAGCCCCGAGCUGUAGCGCAGCAUCCCCGCGGGCCGCCGCGCUGGCGCUGACUGCGGCUCCCUCUGGCCGGCGGCGCCGCUCCGCCCCCGCGCACACACCGCGGGCGGCCGCAGGGGCCGGGCUGCGCAGCGGCUGCCCCGGCGGGGCGGGCCGGCGAGGGGGGAGCCCGACGACCGUGCCGCGAAGGCGACCGAGAGCCUGGCGACGGAUGCAGCCGGACAAAGACACUGGGGGCGCGCGGCUCCCGAGGAAUUUGCCCUUGGGACGCCGCGGUCCCCGCGCUGCCGGGAUUUCGGUGCGGAUUGGGAACGGGGCUCGGAGAAGAGAGCCGAGCGGCUACGCGUGGCACCCAGCCACAUUCUGGGCUUGGAAAAAAGGAGCUGGGGCUCAGAGGAGGCCUCUCUGGUACACACUUCUGAGUGCUCUAACGGGAUAGAGAUGGGCACCGUCCUCCGCUCCUGCUGCAGUUCCUGAGCCACUCAGGCCUGUCAGCUUGUUAGCCGUGCUCCAGGAACACUCAGCAGGCUGGGCAGAAACACCCUGACUCAGGCAGCCUUAGGUGCGAGGCACCAGGCCGGGGCAACUCAGUAUGCAGGUGGUGGCACAAGCCUUGGUGCUGAAGGUCCAGCAAGGAGAUGAGGCUGGUGCUGGAGAUAGCUGGCACUGAGCACACAUUCUUAGACUGCAGGUUUGGACUUCAACAUUUCCUUCAGCAGAUGCUUGUCUCUUCCGGGAUGUGGCUGAAAGGAACGCUGUAACCCUACACCGCUGUGCAGGCCUAGAUGGACACACACUACAUUCAUCUGCAGCUCUGUGCAUCCCUCAAAAGCAAGCAGCACAUUCCUUGGUAAACCAGAGGAACUAAAACCAAAAGAAAUGCUUAAGCACAAAACAAACUGCGGAAGAAAUAUGUAUCCUUUGUCUCCAUGUAAAUACCUUGAAAUAAUUAAGACCACGAGAGAACACAGUUAUAGCUACAUGAUGUCCUUGCCCAUUACGAUGUUAACGAGCAUACUGCUGUGGCUAGGAGCUGUUUCCUGGAUUGGAGAAUGUUGAAGAAGAGGAAGUAAUUUGCUAUCUACCAAGGGACUGGUGCCUCACCCUCUGUGUAAAGUGUCUCUUCUCUUCCGCUUCUCAGUUCUCUGUCCCUAGAGCAGGAUACUGAGCCAUCAGGGCAAGAUGCUGAGCUAUCAACAUGACAUAGAUCUGAGGAAGAGAGGAAGAAAACGUUGCCCAGGCCUGCAGGAGAGAAAGAAGGGUUGGUCUGCAUUACUGUUUGGUCUUUUCUGUUUUCCCAGCUUCUGUUCUCUUCUCCACUUGAGGAAGGUAUAUAGCCCAAGGCAAAUGAGACAGAGCAACCACUUGUAUUUGGACUUCUCUCAAGAUUGACUGUAUGUUAUGCCUGCUGUUCUGUGCAAAGAUGUCCUGAGCCCACAGUCAAAUUUCCGUAUGAAUCAUCCAUCAUCUUAACUCAUGGCAGUAAUCCUGCUUUCAGAGGGGAUUUCCUGGUGCAGAAUAUGUUUAUACUCAACAACAGGGAUAUGCUCCCUCAUAUGUCACUUAACUGUUGAGCUGUGCCUUAGCAGUGAUCAUUACUUGUUCCUGUUCCUUCUGGCGAGCAGCAAUGUCUCAACUUAGAUGCUAGUAUACAGCCUUCGUGUGGUUUCAGUUGGCAAGAUCACAUACCUGUGAGAUUCUCGUGGUUAGCGAGAAGCUGUGCCUUCAGGACUUUUCUCUUCUCUGGGGAAAGGUAUGCACAAAGGGCUGUAGUCACUGCAAGGCACAGACAGAAGAACUGCUUUUCCAAUAGCAGGUACAGAAACCAAACUUGUGCCACACUCUGGUAAAGGACCUCUUUUCCAUGGCCCACAGUAUGACAAAGUCAGGUACAAUAAUUGGGUCUCUGUGAGAAUUUGCAUGGUCUGCACUGACUUUGAGAAUUAUAAUAAAUUUAAUGGAAAUCUUUUUUGUGUGUAGAUAGACAAAACAUCUGUCCAUAAGUAAUACAAACAUAACUACUACAAAUGCAAUUUUAUCAGUUUUGUCUAUAUUACGAAGAGCCCUCCUCAUUUCUUAGAAUAUAAUGGCAAGACGUGCCUAUCUGAUACAGCAAUCUCAACAGAAACAUCUACUUCUGGGCACUUUCUCUAAUUAAAAUUGUUCUAGAAGGAAUAACCUGUAAGCACACUUAGUAGUCUGUUUUUUGUGGUGGUGGUGGUGUUGUUUUUUGUCUACUCUAUAUACCAUCUCCUUUCCUUUCCCCUAGUCAGCAAACUGCAGAGUUCAAUUUGCUUUCCACUCUGCUAGUUGGCUGUGAAUCCCGUGUACACACUUAAAGUUUCUUCAACGAUUCUGCAGGCUGUGAGGUUCAGUGUGCAUAGUAAACAUCUGAAAAUGCCUCAUAACCUCUAAGCUCUGCCAAGGCUGAAAAUGUGUAAAAGAAAGACUCAAAACAAAACAAAAAACAUGAAACCCCAGAACCAACCAACCAACAAACCGACCAAACAACAACAAAAAAACAUCAAACCAACCAAACAACAAAUAAAACCCUCUCUUUGAAUGAAAGCAACAUUUGGGAUAAUAACUUUUUCUCCCUCCCCACAACUCUGACACAUUACAGAGAUUAUGGAUGGAGCUGCUGGUAUUGAAGGAACACCUGGUAACCCCAGCUAUAAAGUAAGAUGCUCAAAAAAAGAUGUUACAGAAAUAUGAGACAUACAUAGAUGGGCUGCAAGAAAGCUCAAAGUUGCUGAAUUAUUUCUGGAUGAAGACAGAGACAAAAACAGGGGUAUGAAGAGGGCAAUAGAGGCACAGAAGUUUGUGACUGGUAUGUGAGGGGGGAAUAGCUAUUCACUACUUCCUACCCUUGGGAACAAUGGAUUUGAAAUGAACCAGGCACCACAUCUACGUGUAAAAUUAAAUUAUGGCAGAGAAUACUGUGAUUAUGAAAGGUAUAUAUGCUCUCAAAAAGCAGCUGAAUAAACUCAUAAAAGGAGCUACAAAACCUGUAAAUCACAAAGGUAUGCACAGAACUACUGACUCAGGAGGUCCUUAAGUUGUGGGCUUGCUUUCUCUCUCACUCUCAAUGGAGAUUUAAGCCAAGAAAUAACAAUCCAUAGAUGAUCCAUUUCCUCUUUCAUUCCCUGAGAGAUGAGGGAUAAAUAUCUGCUUGGUUUUAGCUUGGACCUAUGACCCUACCUGUCUGGCUCUGAUACCAUCUGAACUAGAUUUGUUGGGAUUUACAGCUCUUAUUCCCUGAAGGAGCAUAGCAUUCUUCUACAAACAUCUCUUGCUAUCUUUGUGUUGGACAUGGCACUAACAAACAGACACAGGAUGAGAGAAUGGAAAGUAAAUCACACUUGAUUAAUUGGACUAAAACAAUACUGAUCUUUACAGUUGUACAGACAGCACAAAAUGUAUAUACAGUCAUAUAGAUUGCUCACAGACUAUACAGAAUGCGGUGGCAGAUAAUAAUCUGACCAAGAUGAUGCUUUUAGUUCAAAACCUGCCAGUGCUUUUUGAAUGUAAAGAUACAAAGGAACAGCAGGUUAAUUAUAAGAUGACACUACAAUGUGAAUAUCUGGGGCAAUAGUUGUGAAACAGCUAAUAAGAUUACACAAAAUCUGCAGCAAAUUUGAAGUGCUGGAAAUGUUUGUACCUCCCUACCCUCUCCCCCCCCCGGCCCCCAACUAUCCUUUUUACCACCACCAGCAUCACAGGUCCAGGAAGACCAAAGACCAUUAUGCUGUGGAAGAAAUGAAACAAUGUCACAGAAACAUCAGGCCUUUAUAUUAAAAGCCUGUGGUCACAAGAUGAAUAACAGAACAUACGAUACAUGGAAUGGAAAAUACGUCUUCUCUCACAAAACAGCAAAUCACAAAGGCAGGAAUGGGCAGCCUGGCCUUACCUUAACAAAUUUCCUCAUUACGGUUGUGUUAAAAGGCUGAUUCUCUUCUCCAUCAUCAAACUAAGAGCUGACAGAGUCCAGAGGAAGAGGUAAAGUCCUAGUAACACUUCAUCAGCUGGAAUACUAGCCCUGUGAGAUUUGGGAAUAAUUGCUGAGUUACAGAUUGUGCAAGAACUCACACAAGUGGUCAUUAAGGUUAUAAAAUCCCAGUUGGAUUGUUACAAAAAUGGAGUGUUAUAAUUAACUUCUAAUAGCCUUCACUUUCCAGUGGGAUUAAAAUCCACUCUGUCUUUAUCAUCCCCAAGGCAUGAAGCCCAUUUAUAGCAAAGACUGUCAAAUGGACAGACGCAUGUGAAAUACUUCAGAACAAGACUUGGUAAGACCUGUGGGCUUGAUCACCUAUUUUUCUUCAAAAUUGUUUAUUUUUCCUGUUAACACUCACAUGUGUAUUCCACAGACAUGCAUUUAGCUCAGCAUCGUGUAACUAACUCCCAAACAAUCUUUUUUGGGCAUCACAGCUAGCAUGAAAAUGUUGUCCUGUUAACAAUCAUAAAACAGCUUGUUAGGGGAUGAGCAUCUGAAAUUGAGUCUCCAAAUUCAGCAGCCAUGGGUCACCUUACAUGCAGAAUACAAACCAACACAUAACAUUGUACAGUUCUUAUCUUGAGCAAUAUUUUCCUCUUGCACUGGCAAAUACACCCUUAGCUACAUUUGGAGCUAGUCUGGUUUACAGCUGGCCUUUUGAAGGGACAUGACGCACACAACUAUCUGAAUAUCCAGCUUGGUUUAGCUACAAGCAUCAAAUCACUUCUCAAACCUAUUGACAUAACUGUUUUCUGUCACUUAACACUCCCAGUAUAUGGCUAAUGUAGGAUAACUACAGAAACUCAGAGCCUCCCCUGCUGAUCUCACAUAGACAAUCUAUAUUUAGGAAUGCCCAUAUCAGAAGUUUAAAAUGCAGAAUAAAUACUUUGUUUUGCAAAGCUUUCAAUACUCACUUUACGUGAUUAU
Molecule: long non-coding RNA, 5013 nt
Filed under: Gallus gallus (chicken)
Lineage: Eukaryota; Metazoa; Chordata; Aves; Galliformes; Phasianidae
Source: RNAcentral